Molecule: non-coding RNA, 469 nt
Organism: Salvia hispanica
Lineage: Eukaryota; Viridiplantae; Streptophyta; Magnoliopsida; Lamiales; Lamiaceae
Source: RefSeq, a predicted model, not a curated record
GUCACGAUGACUCCAAAUCGGCCGUUCUCAGGCGGUGGACGGCGGAAAGGCGACCACGUCUACACAAAUCGCCUCAGCCUCAGCCUCCACGCGAGUCGGCGACAAAAACCCUAAUUCCUUUACCUUCUAUGUGACAUCAGGAAAAUGCAGAUCAAGAUCAAGAUCAAGAACGGAGGCACAACAACUGGCAGCAGGAUUAAGGAAUCAAAGAAUGCAAACAGAAUGUGGAAUAAGUAUGGUGGAUUUUGAGUCUCCUGCCACCAACUUGAAGCAAAUUCAGUGAAGGUACAAAAGCAUUAAUAAAAAGUUUAAAUGCCAGCUUUGGAAACAUGGAAGAUUCCUUGGUUGCUGCAAGUGUUUAACAGGUUUUGGUUCUAUUAAAGAGGCAAAUAGCAGUGGAAAAAUUUCAAGAAUUUACUACAUGAUUUAUGAUUUAGAUUUGUAAUUUGUUGAUUCUUGCAAAUGUAGG